This 72-nucleotide transfer RNA is filed under the name Camelus bactrianus (Bactrian camel). It matches the Rfam family "tRNA". From Rfam's summary of the family: Transfer RNA (tRNA) molecules are approximately 80 nucleotides in length. Their secondary structure includes four short double-helical elements and three loops (D, anti-codon, and T loops). The record is from Rfam by way of RNAcentral. Lineage: Eukaryota; Metazoa; Chordata; Mammalia; Artiodactyla; Camelidae. RNAcentral also lists the same sequence under 2 other names.
GUGGGUACAGCUCAGCGGUAGAGCAGACGCUUAGCAUGCAUGAGGUCCUGGGUUCAAUCCACAGUACCUCCA